This 492-nucleotide ribosomal RNA is filed under the name Rhizobium sp. Its description in RNAcentral is "bacterial SSU rRNA". It matches the Rfam family "Bacterial small subunit ribosomal RNA", at positions 104 to 630 of the family's 1533-position model. The record is from RNAcentral. Lineage: Bacteria; Pseudomonadati; Pseudomonadota; Alphaproteobacteria; Hyphomicrobiales; Rhizobiaceae.
GGGUGAGUAACACGUGGGAACGUACCCUUUACUACGGAACAACUCCGGGAAACUGGAGCUAAUACCGUAUGUGCCCUUCGGGGGAAAGAUUUAUCGGUAAAGGAUCGGCCCGCGUUGGAUUAGCUAGUUGGUGGGGUAAAGGCCUACCAAGGCGACGAUCCAUAGCUGGUCUGAGAGGAGGAGGGGGGCACAUUGGGACUGAGACACGGCCCAAACUCCUACGGGAGGCAGCAGUGGGGAAUAUUGGACAAUGGGCGCAAGCCUGAUCCAGCCAUGCCGCGUGUGUGAUGAAGGCCUUAGGGUUGUAAAGCACUUUCACCGGAGAAGAUAAUGACGGUAUCCGGAGAAGAAGCCCCGGCUAACUUCGUGCCAGCAGCCGCGGUAAUACGAAGGGGGCUAGCGUUGUUCGGAAUUACUGGGCGUAAAGCGCACGUAGGCGGAUAUUUAAGUCAGGGGUGAAAUCCCAGAGCUCAACUCUGGAACUGCCUUUGA